GAUGAACGCUGGCGGCGUGCCUAAUGCAUGCAAGUCGAGCGAACGGACGAGAAGCUUGCUUCUCUGAUGUUAGCGGCGGACGGGUGAGUAACACGUGGAUAACCUACCUAUAAGACUGGGAUAACUUCGGGAAACCGGAGCUAAUACCGGAUAAUAUUUUGAACCGCAUGGUUCAAAAGUGAAAGACGGUCUUGCUGUCACUUAUAGAUGGAUCCGCGCUGCAUUAGCUAGUUGGUAAGGUAACGGCUUACCAAGGCAACGAUGCAUAGCCGACCUGAGAGGGUGAUCGGCCACACUGGAACUGAGACACGGUCCAGACUCCUACGGGAGGCAGCAGUAGGGAAUCUUCCGCAAUGGGCGAAAGCCUGGCGGAGCAACGCCGCGUGAGUGAUGAAGGUCUUCGGAUCGUAAAACUCUGUUAUUAGGGAAGAACAUAUGUGUAAGUAACUGUGCACAUCUUGACGGUACCUAAUCAGAAAGCCACGGCUAACUACGUG
This 497-nucleotide ribosomal RNA is filed under the name uncultured bacterium. Its description in RNAcentral is "partial 16S ribosomal RNA". It matches the Rfam family "Bacterial small subunit ribosomal RNA", at positions 28 to 507 of the family's 1533-position model. The record is from RNAcentral.